UACAGAGGUCCCAAGCGUUGUUCGGAUUCAUUGGGCGUAAAGCGCGUGUAGGCGGCUCGGUAAGUCCGCUCUGAAAGUCCAGGGCUCAACCCUGGGAUGCGGGUGGAUACUGCCGGGCUCGAGUCCGGAAGAGGCGAGUGGAAUUCCCGGUGUAGCGGUGAAAUGCGCAGAUAUCGGGAGGAACACCAAUGGCGAAGGCAGCUCGCUGGGACGUGACUGACGCUGAGACGCGAAAGCGUGGGGAGCAAACAGG
This 253-nucleotide ribosomal RNA is filed under the name uncultured bacterium. RNAcentral's name for it is "partial 16S ribosomal RNA". It matches the Rfam family "Bacterial small subunit ribosomal RNA", at positions 524 to 776 of the family's 1533-position model. The record is from RNAcentral.